Molecule: ribosomal RNA, 407 nt
Filed under: uncultured bacterium
Lineage: Bacteria
Description: bacterial SSU rRNA
Rfam family: Bacterial small subunit ribosomal RNA
Source: RNAcentral
GCGGGAAUAUUGCACAACGGGGGAAACCCUGGUGCAGCGAUGCCGCGUGAGGGAUGAAGGCCUUCGGGUCGUAAACCUCUUUUGGCAGGGACGAACACAAUGACGGUACCUGCAGAAGAAGCUCCGGCUAACUCCGUGCCAGCAGCCGCGGUAAUACGGAGGGAGCGAGCGUUGUCCGGAUUUACUGGGCGUAAAGAGCGCGUAGGUGGUUUUUUAAGUCGGCUGUGAAAUCGCUGGGCUUAACCCAGUUAGGUCAGUCGAUACUGAUAGACUUGAGUCCGGGAGAGGGAAGCGGAAUAGCUGGUGUAGCGGUGGAAUGCGUAGAUAUCAGCUAGAACACCGGUGGCGAAGGCGGCUUCCUGGACCGGCACUGACACUGAGGCGCGAAAGCUAGGGGAGCGAACAGG